Molecule: long non-coding RNA, 225 nt
Filed under: Capsicum annuum
Lineage: Eukaryota; Viridiplantae; Streptophyta; Magnoliopsida; Solanales; Solanaceae
Description: long non-coding RNA (CANN_LNC018837)
Source: RNAcentral
CCUCUUCAUUGGAAUAUUCUCUUGAAUCUUCCAAAAGGUGCUUGUACAAACACCUUUGUAUAUCUUUUUCUUCACUUUUGAGGAUCAAACACCACCUUUUGAAAAAGAAUUAAGAUGAAGAUUUAAAUCUUUCUCAAGAACACCAAGAACUUCAAAAAUUUCUAACUUUUAAAUCCUUGAUCUGAAUGGGAUGAAAUUUUGAACCAAAGCUCUUUUCCACCUCCA